This 233-nucleotide unclassified non-coding RNA is filed under the name Ascomycota sp. Its description in RNAcentral is "partial contains small subunit ribosomal RNA, internal transcribed spacer 1, and 5.8S ribosomal RNA". The stretch from base 1 to 47 matches the Rfam family "Eukaryotic small subunit ribosomal RNA", at positions 1785 to 1831 of the family's 1831-position model. Lineage: Eukaryota; Fungi; Ascomycota. The record is from RNAcentral.
AAAGUCGUAACAAGGUUUCCGUAGGUGAACCUGCGGAAGGAUCAUUAAUGGGUUACCGCCUUCGGGCACACCCCCACCCUUUGUAACUGCGGCCCGGAUUCGGCGCCUGGCGGGACUACCCCCCGUUUGCGGGGGGCCCCGCCUGCCGGAAUUAGCCAACCCUGCCUAGAAAAUUGAAGUCUGAGAACAAGUUAAAUUAAACAAAACUUUCAACAACGGAUCUCUUGGUUCUG